This 451-nucleotide ribosomal RNA is filed under the name Salmonella enterica subsp. enterica serovar Havana. RNAcentral's name for it is "partial 23S ribosomal RNA". It matches the Rfam family "Bacterial large subunit ribosomal RNA", at positions 203 to 677 of the family's 2925-position model. Lineage: Bacteria; Pseudomonadati; Pseudomonadota; Gammaproteobacteria; Enterobacterales; Enterobacteriaceae. The record is from RNAcentral.
UAAGUACCCCGAGGAAAAGAAAUCAACCGAGAUUCCCCCAGUAGCGGCGAGCGAACGGGGAGGAGCCCAGAGCCUGAAUCAGCAUGUGUGUUAGUGGAAGCGUCUGGAAAGGCGCGCGAUACAGGGUGACAGCCCCGUACACAAAAGCGCAUGUGCUGUGAGCUCGAUGAGUAGGGCGGGACACGUGGUAUCCUGUCUGAAUAUGGGGGGACCAUCCUCCAAGGCUAAAUACUCCUGACUGACCGAUAGUGAACCAGUACCGUGAGGGAAAGGCGAAAAGAACCCCGGCGAGGGGAGUGAAAAAGAACCUGAAACCGUGUACGUACAAGCAGUGGGAGCCCCACCACUAAGCCAGUGGUGAACUCCACAUACGCAUCCUUUGCUGAGGAUACGGUUAACGGAGCGAAAGCGACGUUCAACCGCAAAAGAAGCAGAGGGGGCUUAGUGGUGG